RNAcentral lists this transfer RNA (90 nucleotides) under Aurantimicrobium minutum. RNAcentral's name for it is "tRNA-Ser". It matches the Rfam family "tRNA". From Rfam's summary of the family: Transfer RNA (tRNA) molecules are approximately 80 nucleotides in length. Their secondary structure includes four short double-helical elements and three loops (D, anti-codon, and T loops). The record is from RNAcentral. Lineage: Bacteria; Bacillati; Actinomycetota; Actinomycetes; Micrococcales; Microbacteriaceae.
GGGUUUGUAACUGAAACUCAUUCAUCAGAAUCGUCCUCCACACGACUGAAAAUCGUGAGGUCACGGGAUCGACGCCCGUCGGAGCCACCA